RNAcentral lists this ribosomal RNA (253 nucleotides) under uncultured bacterium. Its description in RNAcentral is "partial 16S ribosomal RNA". It matches the Rfam family "Bacterial small subunit ribosomal RNA", at positions 524 to 776 of the family's 1533-position model. The record is from RNAcentral.
UACGUAGGGGGCAAGCGUUGUCCGGAAUCAUUGGGCGUAAAGCGCGUGUAGGCGGCUUGAUAAGUCUGCUGUGAAAGCCCGGGGCUCAACCCCGGGAGGCGGGUGGAUACUGUCAAGCUAGAGUCCGGAAGAGGAGUGUGGAAUUCCUGGUGUAGCGGUGAAAUGCGCAGAUAUCAGGAGGAACACCAAUGGCGAAGGCAGCACUCUGGGACGGGACUGACGCUGAGACGCGAAAGCGUGGGGAGCAAACAGG